UGUUUCGGCAAGGGGGUCAUCCCGACUUACCAACCCGAUGCAAACUGCGAAUACCGGAGAAUGUUAUCACGGGAGACACACGGCGGGUGCUAACGUCCGUCGUGAAGAGGGAAACAACCCAGACCGCCAGCUAAGGUCCCAAAGUCAUGGUUAAGUGGGAAACGAUGUGGGAAGGCCCAGACAGCCAGGAUGUUGGCUUAGAAGCAGCCAUCAUUUAAAGAAAGCGUAAUAGCUCACUGGUCGAGUCGGCCUGCGCGGAAGAUGUAACGGGGCUAAACCAUGCACCGAAGCUGCGGCAGCGACGCUGAUGCGUUGUUGGGUAGGGGAGCGUUCUGUAAGCCUGUGAAGGUGUGCUGUGAGGCAUGCUGGAGGUAUCAGAAGUGCGAAUGCUGACAUAAGUAACGAUAAAGCGGGUGAAAAGCCCGCUCGCCGGAAGACCAAGGGUUCCUGUCCAACGUUAAUCGGGGCAGGGUGAGUCGACCCCUA
Molecule: ribosomal RNA, 486 nt
Filed under: Escherichia coli
Lineage: Bacteria; Pseudomonadati; Pseudomonadota; Gammaproteobacteria; Enterobacterales; Enterobacteriaceae
Description: partial 23S ribosomal RNA
Rfam family: Bacterial large subunit ribosomal RNA
Source: RNAcentral